Molecule: long non-coding RNA, 6760 nt
Filed under: Fragaria vesca (wild strawberry)
Lineage: Eukaryota; Viridiplantae; Streptophyta; Magnoliopsida; Rosales; Rosaceae
Description: long non-coding RNA (FVES_LNC000569)
Source: RNAcentral
GGGCUGUAGAUAGCAUUCUGCAUGUAGAAGACAAUUAAUAAGAUACUUACAUGAGCUCAAACAACUAAUCAGUUACUUGAAAUUGACAAAUAUUGAGUAUACUUACGUUGUAGAGGAAGCCUCUCUCAGCGCUGAGGUCAAGGUGCCUGAGAAUAGGCAACUUAAAACUGUUGAGCGUGCUGACGCGACCGGCUUGGGGACUGAAGACAUCGGCGCGUGACGGCCUGCCAAUAUUCUCUUUGAUCCUGAAGUUGCAGAAUGUCUCCUCAAAACCAUUCUGUCCUUGUUGCCCCUGUUGUCUCUGAAUUCCCUGUUCUCGUCUUUCCUCCUGUUGUGACUCUGGUGGCUGGAUGAAAUCGAGACGUCCUCUAACUCUCACGAUUUGGGGUCUGUUGUCUUUCUGUCCCUGAAGCUGCUGGGCAGUCUGUUGGUCAAUGUUCAAAGCAUCAGCGAGGAGCUGUGUGUUGAAGCCUGCAAAGAUGUUGUUGUUUCCUUGUCGUUGUUGUUGCUGGUGCCUGCUCCUUCCUCCUUGCUGUUGCUGGUGCCUGCUCUUUUCUCCUUGCUGUUGCUGGUCCUGGUCCCAUUGACUUUGGCCUUCCGCUUGUUGUCCACGUCCUUGCCGUCCUCGUUGCCUUUGGCUUUGCCCGUGUUGGUUAAACUCAUCUUGUGGAUUACCCGCUAGAUAGAAUCUCUAUACACAUAACAAUAGUACAAUACAUGUAUGUGAUCUGCAGUCAGCAAUGAUAACAAGUAAUCUACCAAUAAAUAUGCAAAUAUAUUUGGGGGUGUAAAUGGACAGUGUGCUCAUUAGUAGAUAUUUAAUUUACCCUAGGGUUACGAUCAAGCUGGUUUUGGUUGUUGCCGAUGUCAAGAAGACUGACAGCAACAAGAGGUUGAUCACCGUCAUUGUAGGACCAGUAGGUGACUCCGGCAGGAAUAGCAACAACGUCACCUUCUCUGAUGCGUCGAACCUUCUGGUGUCUGUCUAGCUGUUCGAAGCUUUCUUGUCCCUGUUGGCCUUGCUGGCCUUGUUGUCUAUGACGGCCAUGCUGUCCACGGUCUUGCUGCUCUUGUUGUUCACGGCCUUGCUGUCCAUGACGCCCUUGCCAUUGUUGUUGACCCUGUUGUUCUUCAUCAGAUUGUUCUGAUUCUUCAAAAGACUCAGGACAGCCAGGGAAUACAGUAGAUAGAAAACCAUUUCCUGCCGUAAUUAUAUGAAUAUAUUACACACCAUAUACAGAUACAUAUUAAUACAUAUCCAACAUUUAUAAUAUUAGAUAGAAAUGGUUCCGGUUACACAGUACCUUGGACAAUAUAUAUGAGCUGUGGUGCGUGGGUGUAAGAAGGCAAGUGAAGGCCAUUUCUUUCAACAGUGAUUCGUUGAACAGCAACACCAGCACACCGGAAGUCGUCCUGGUUGUAGUUCCAGGACUCGAUCCUACCCGCUUCAGUCUCAAUGCGGUUAUCAGGUUCGCGGGCUUGGAUCUGAUCAAGUUGGCACUCAUUCUGCUGGCUCGACUGAGAUUGUUGGCGCGCUGCUAAGCAGCUGUGGAAGAGGACAAGCAAGCAAAGAGAAAAGGCGAGAGCUAUAGGCUUAGCCAUAGUGUUGAUCAGAUAAGUAUAUAGCUUGUCGUGGUGAAGCGGCGAGUAGAAGGUGUGGUAUUUAUACUUUUAUAGGAUAGAGAAGCUGAAGAGGGAAGGAUAAGUACAACAACGUACAUCUGUAAAUAGUCUGAAGCCAUUCUUAUCUUUGCAUGGCAAAAGCAUUUCACAUUCUUACACCUCAUUUCUCCCAGGGCAGGUGGCUCAUGGCUUCAGAGAAGAUACAAAGUGCCUAACAAGGUGGGGUUUUGCCAUGAUUGUCUGCAAGUGAAGCGAAAUUCUACUGCCUUGAACCUGGUCCAAUAAAGAGCAAAAUUUAUGAGAGGACUAAGAUAUGUUCUUACCAGUUUUAGUAAAAUAGUAUUACAUCAGCACCAACCUGAUGAACAUCUUCUAUAAUGUAGGCAAGGUUCAAAAAUGGCUGUUCUUAUCUUCCUAGUAGCCAUCCAUACUCUGUCAUUUUAUGAGUCAAAGUUUAAUAUUUAAAACUUAUGUAGACAUUCCAACAAUAAAACUUAAAAGUUCUUAACUCUAGUUGGUAAUACUUUGACACGUCAAACUUCUUUGAUUUCUUCCAGAAGCAUAAGCAUCUGGUUCUCACGUUGCUAAUCACUUCACCUAUCUAGUUUUCCUACCAAAAAGAAUCUGAUAUAGAUAGAAAAGUUAGCCAUAAAUGUAGGACUUACUGUGAACAAUGUCCCAAUUCCAACCUCAAAGAUUAGAAUCUAAAAGCUCGUAACUCAAAAUUAUACAACAUCAUUAUAUUCACAAUAAAAAGUACUCUGACAUAAGGUUUAGUUCAGUUUAGUGCUUCUUGAAAAAAAAGAUGAAGACUUCAACUGUUCUACAACAUAAUUGUCUAUAUCUAUACUCAAAAUGAUCAAUAAUCGUUUAUCCUACCAUAUUUCUUGUAUGGAAUAUCUUGUUACAUUUUGUUUUCAUAGCAAAAUGUUGCAAUAUUUGAGUGAUAGAUACACUGCCAACAUGGUGUACAAGUUCCACAGCCAAGAUUUUUGGGCUCACGACAACUCUUAAGGCUUAAGAACCAGUAAUGCAUGGUUGAACUAGGGAGCAGCCAUUGCUGAAGGCUCCUCCUCAAAACGAUCCAUUGCUUUAUUACCCCAUGGUUGGAAAACCUGCCAACAGUCAAAAUUUCCUCUUCCCCCGCAGUCGAUAUUUUCUCAUCUCAAUAAAUUUUAUUCAUCCAAAACAUAAAUCCUUUUGUUUAAGUACCCGCCAGUAUAUCUAAUAUCUGUGACAAGCCGAGUGCUGACAGCUGAUAUUUUAAAACUUGGGAUUCCCUAUAGCCCCUCUCAUUAUAACCCCUCUAAUGUUAAAGCUUCUGCUAAAGACACAUCUCUAGUUCCUCGAGCUAAUGCUACAUCCGCAAUGCAAUUGUUCCCAUGCAAUGAUUAGCCAGAGGAAAACUCGAGGAGCUCCCUUGACUCUGAUCAAUUUAGCCUCAAGUCUCGAACUUGUUCUUUGAAAGUCAGUGAAGAGGCUACUUCUUUAACUGGUGAUGGUGCUCAACCAAUGUUAAGCCAGACAGAGGAUAGUUAAGUGAAUCUGGUCGGGAAGACCUAAAAAGAGCAAAACUUCUUGCUUUCCCUUGCUACACAACGAGUACUACUAAAAGGUCGAUUCCAACAAAAGAGCUCAGGAUGUUGUUAUUAAUGGGGUUGGGACUUGAGUUCUCGGGUGGGAAUGUGAAGGUGCAGCAGUUGCUUUGCAACUCUACUUUACUGUCCUUGUCCAAGCUGAUAAGGGUGGGACGACAUUGAACGGCCUUAUUUACAGGUCCUCUAUAUAUUGGAAUACUUGACUGUCUCAGAAAGGACUUGCCAAGUGAUUCCCUAAUUCUAAUGCUCAGACCUCGGCCUAUUUGAAAUGUCUGAUAGAAACUAGUUUGAGGAAUAAUUAGCUUCUUUACCUGUGAGUACAUGUUUCUAUGGAAGGUUUCUGUAAUGCUAGCUUUCCUUCUGCUAUAAGGAAGGUGACCAAGCUUUUAAUCCUAACACCAAAGUUAAACCUUUUCCAAAGAAAGGGGGUCAAAACCUGUAGAAUAUUAUGUAACAGGUUGAACCUAACACAUAAAGUUCAGCAAUCAUCCAUGAUCCAUCUUCUAUCAUAUUUUUACUGAACCAAAGAUUAAGUAAUCAACACUGGCAGUUGUUUAUGUAAGUUAUUCUGAUAAAGAAAAAAGAUCCAUCACUACCCUUAAACUUAUUGUGCCACAAAACACAAAUGACUUCAAUUGUUCCUAUCGCAUAGAAACCAAACUUUUGUCAUUGUUUCUUGGAAUUAUUCUGUACACAUCACUUCUGUGCAAUCAUGCACAAAAUAGAAUCAAAAUACCAUGACAAUGACAAAGGGUUUAAUUCAAUUUGGCACUUCUUACCAACACUAUGCUCCUCCAAAUGGUCCUCAUAGUCAAAGGGACUUCCCCAUAUCCCUUGUUCCAAAAUUAGCUUCUUUACCCAGAAUCAAUCAUCCUACUACGCUCAAAAUAUCUAAUUUCUCAAUACUCUACUGAUUCAAUUGAGUUGAAGACAAAGUAGACAACAAUUAACAGAUCAAAUGUGAAAGUACAUAAUUCAAUAGACUCACGAUUGCUGAGUUGCAGGUCACUGGUUGUGGUGUGUCUGAUCAGCAGGAGCUACGUUUCAAGCACGCCCUCGUGAAGCAAUCUCGUCCCCGACGCGACCUCUGGUAGUCGGAAUAUGCGGCCGGAUAACAUGAUCCGGCGAUCCCGUCUUUCACAUUGUGUUUGGUUGGACAUUGGCGGUUCCAGCAGUUCAGUUACUAUUGGUCUUCACCCUCUCAGCGCUCAACCUCUUCUAGUCUCUCCUUUUAUUCUUGUACUUGUCAGUUGUCACAGUUGCUAUCUAUGUGAUUGUUCCACGUGGAUUUUAUUUUCCUGCAAAUUCCCAAAUUAAUUAUUAUUUUGUCCAAAAUUUCCAGAUGAAUUGUUUGUUGUCUUUGAUGUUUUUUUUUCUUUUGUAAAAAGAUCGUAUGACCCCUUAUAUGGAUAUUUUCAGGAGACUUCUUGCCGCCUUCACGCUGUUCACGUUCCACAUACAUAUAUACAUGCAGCUCAACAUGCUUUUUCACCAACUUCACUGAGUUCUUUGAUGAUUCUAAUCAUUCGAUGGAAUCACAAAAUAGUUAGUUUAUACAACAGAGUUCGUGAGCUGCUUAUUUUAUAGUUUAAUUUUGGCGUGACGUCAUUAGUUAAAGCUCGACGAAGCAUGCUGUUUUUCUUUUCUAUCAAGAGCGUGAUUAGCUGGUUUGGAAAUUUCAUUUCUAUUUUUCUCGUUCUUAUUGAGAGUCAAACUUUGAAGAAAUGAUAGUCAAACUUCGAAGAAAUGAUUGGAGUCAAACCUGAUGAUUACAGACAAGGGGUGAGCUGCUGAUAUGCAAUUACAGCCAAAGCAAAUUACUGACUUAAAUCUAAGGGGCAAAGCUUCACAAUUUAGAUAAAACACCAACUCACCAAGUAUAGUUGAGGCAAAAAGAAAAUUCAUUUAACGAGAAUAUGACUACAAGAACGUAGUAGCUCGUUAUUUACUAGUUUGUACAUAAGAUCUCAUAUCUUCCGAAGAUGCCAUAUAAAGGCCAUUUUUAUUCACUCUACCCUUUAGCUCGCUGGUACCAUAUUCACUAGCUUAUUCACCGCACAAAAAACACUACGUGCGCAUUACAUACAUAUUCAUACUCAGACAAACAUCUCAGCAAUAUCCAACCAGUUCCUGUGGGAUCGAGGAGACCUUGAUGAGCUCAAAGCAACAGUCUCCUGCCUGUUGUACUUGAGAGUCCUUGCCUGUUGUCGAUCAAUCUGGUAUGCGUUAGCGAGGACCACGUCAGGGAGUGCCCGCAAGACUGAGGUCCGGCCAGCAAGAGUGUUAAUCUUAGCAUUGUCUUGGGUCUUGAAAGCAAUGUAUUCGAAUCCAUUGUUGCUAGCCUUAUGCAACACUGCAUGGUUCUGUGGCACAAUGAAGAGCUGGCCCUGGCGGACCUCGUUGUCCAAGAUGGCCUGGCCGUUGUUGUUCACAACCUGAACCCUAGCACUACCUCUAAUGACGUAGUAGACUUCAUGGGCGUUCAAGUUCCAGUGAGGACUGUAGAUAGCAUUCUGCAAGUACCACAAACAAGAUUAGUAAUCAUAAUCAAUAACCUCAAUUGAUUCAAAAGGACCUAUAUCGUUGAUUAUAUAUACUUACGUUAUAGAAGAAGCCUCUCUCAGCGCUGAGGUCAAGGUGCCUGAGAAUAGGCAACUUAAAGCUGUUGAGGGUGCUGAUGCGACCGGCUUGGGGACUGAAGACGUCAGCGCGUGAAGGCCUGCCGAUAUUCUCUUUGAUCCUGAAGUUGCAGAAUGUCUCCUCAAAACCAUUCCGUCCUUGUCCCUGUUGUCUCUGAAUUCCCUGUUGUUGUCUUUCCUCCUGUUCUGACUCUGCUGGCUGAACAAAGUCGAGACGUCCUUUAACUCUCACGAUUUGGGGUCUGUUGUCGUUCUGUCCCUGAAGCUGCUGGGCAGUCUGUUGAUCAAUGUUCAGAGCGUCAGCGAGGAGCUGUGUGUUGAAGCCGGCGAAGAUGUUCUUGUUGUUUCCUUCUUGUUGCUGGUGCCUGCUCCUUCCUCCUUGCUGUUGCUGGUGCCUGCUCCUCUCUCGUUGCUGUUGCUGGUCCUGGUCCCAUUGACUUUGUCCUUGCUGGCCCCGACGACUCUGGCUUUGCCCGUGUUGGUUAAACUCAUCUUGUGGAUUACCAGCCAGAUAGAAUCUCUACAUACAUAACACAUCAUGCAUGUGAUCAGAAAAAACUAGCAAGCCAACAGUAAGAGUGCUAUUGUACCUCCACAAAAGAAAAUAUAUACAUAUCACAUUUGCUAAUUAAUUUACCCUGGGGUUACGGUCAAGCUGGUUUUGUUGGUUGCCGAUAUCAAGAAGAUUGACAGCAACAAGAGGUUGGUCACCGUCGUUGUAGGACCAGUAGGUGACUCCAGCAGGAAUAGCAAUCACAUCACCUUCUCUGAUGCGUUGAACCUUCUGGUGUCUGUCUAGCUGCUCGAAACUCUCUUGUCCCUGUUGGCUGUGCCGCCCUUGUUGUCUAUGACGACUUUGCUGUCCAGGGCCUUGUUGCCCUCGUUGACCACGGCCUUGUU